CAUGCGAAUCUCGAAAGCCUAUCUCAGUUCGGAUUGGAGGCUGAAACCCGCCUCCAUGAAGUUGGAUUCGCUAGUAAUCGCGCAUCAGCCAUGGCGCGGUGAAUACGUUCCCGGGCCUUGUACACACCGCCCGUCAAGCCAUGGGAGCCGGGGUGCCUGAAGUUCGUUACCGCAAGGAUCGACCUAGGGCAAAACUGGUGACUGGGGCUAAGUCGUAACAAGGUAGC
Molecule: ribosomal RNA, 227 nt
Filed under: uncultured bacterium
Lineage: Bacteria
Description: partial 16S ribosomal RNA
Rfam family: Bacterial small subunit ribosomal RNA
Source: RNAcentral